Molecule: long non-coding RNA, 1033 nt
Filed under: Heterocephalus glaber (naked mole-rat)
Lineage: Eukaryota; Metazoa; Chordata; Mammalia; Rodentia; Bathyergidae
Description: lncRNA (ENSHGLG00000039679.1)
Source: RNAcentral
AGUUCAUUAGCAUAUGGCUCAUGUAAUACAACUGGGGUUGUUAUGAGAAUGAAAAAUUUGGCCUCUGAGACAAGCACAGAGGGUCAGUGAUGGAGACACACAGAAGAAUAUCACGUGAAGGGACAGAGACUGGACUUGUGCUGCCACUGACCAAGGAACAUCUAAGCAACUGGAAGCCACAGAACCUAAGGAAGGAGCCCUUCUGUACAGAUUUCAGAGGGAGACAUUCAUGUUGACAUCUUGACUUCCAGCUUUGAGCCUCCUGAACUUUUCAGUUGUGUAAUUCAGCAUUGUCAUGUACAGUCGUAUUUGGGAUUCCCCCAAAUUUAACAAUGACACUCAAAGAGACCUAGUUUUUGGUCAGACACAUAAAGACCUUGGAAAUUCAAAUCCAUCCUAAAAAGAUUAAAAAUGCUGCACUCCAACGAGGCCCAACAACAGGGAAGACUGUCAAAUGUUUGAGUUUUACCUUCAGGAUCCCUACCAGGUUCACAAGAAUUUCCCAUAUUAAUUAUGACAUGCAACCUACAAAGGUAAUAAGAGGAUACAGGAUGUGGAAGACAUCUUGAACACUAGAAAUCAGAGAUCAAGUUGUCAAGAGGACUGAUUUUUCUUCAGGAUUCUCUGCUUCACUCAUAGAAGAUUGUUUCAUUUCUUGUUUUCACGCUCCUCCCCUCUUUCCCUGCCUCUCUUGAACUGGGAUGAGCAGCUGUCUUGCAGCAGGUGUCCUUUCCACCAGGUUAUUUCAACCUUGGAUCCAACUGGCAUUGGAUUGACCCCACAAAAAACUGUAAGCCAAAUAAAUAUCUUGUUUUUAAAUUUUAUUUUAUUGGUACAAUUUAGGUAUACAAUAUAAUGACAUUCCUCAUUGGAAAUUUGCACCUUUACAUAAUCUCUCCUGGUUCUUAUUUUUCCCCCUUUCCCUGACCGCCCUUCAACCCCCCAUCCCUCCCUAUUUACAAAGACUUUGUUUCCAUUUUUUCAUUUUCUCACAUUAAUUCCAUUCCCUUCUGUCCUUUCCCCUACCCCUCCC